CAAACCACAGGAAGUGAGGCUCCCUGGGGCACCUCCAGCGAUGACAUCCUGAGAUCUCACCCCUUCUUCCCAUCUCUGAUAGAGGCCGAUGUGACCAGCACAGUGCACACGGCCUGCCGUGGUUUUCCAGGCCCUGCUAACCAGCCAGGACAACACCGAAGUGCAGGGCAAGGCAUCCAUAACGGGAAGCGGCCAGGGUUAGUCUUGGCACAUACCAGGAGCAAAUGAACAAAGACUCGAGGGGCAGGUGGCCCAUCCUCUGUGACAGGAGCUGAUGGAGCAGAGGGUGCAGCAGAGGGCAUCUGGGCCCCGUGCGGAGCUUCCAGGGCUGGCAGGGGCCGAGGACAUGUGGAGCGCCUGCCUGCCCCAGCUGGCCUACUUUGGGCAGUGCCAAUGGCAGCCGGGGGCAGCGUUCCCGGCUCAGGGGGCGGCCAAUUCCAGGAAGGGCGGGCCAAGAGCCUCAGCAGGGGAAGGAACAGAUGACAUCUCGAUGCAUCAAGGGGACAUGGAACUUUUGAACAAAGAGGAAAUUAAAAGAAAUUAAUUGCAGUAAAAUCUACUAUGGUAAUCGUGUCUCGAUGUUUAGUUCAGUCAUGGUAAGUCUGUUCACGUUGCUGUGUAUCCAACACCGUCUCCAAAGAUCUUUUCAUCUUGCAAAACUGAACGUCUGUCCCUGUUCCUGCUCUACCAGUUGUCUCUCGCCUCGCCCCUGGGAACUUUCUCUCCCUGCCUUCCUUCCUUCCUAGAUUUUAUUUAUUUAUUUAGAGAAAGCACCGGUGUGUGAGAGAAAAGGAAGGGGCAGAGGGAGAGGGAUAGAAUCCUGAAGCAGCCUCCUUGCUAAGCAGGGAGCCCGACAGAGGACUUGAUCCCUCAACCUGCGAUCAUGACCUGAGCCGAAAUCAAGGGUCAGACGCUUAACUGAACCACGCAGGUGCCCCAGAAAUGGCUUUCUCCGUUCUUCCUGUAUUUGCUGUAGACACCUCAUCUAAGGGGAACCAUACGCUGUGUCCUUUGCGACUAGAACAUUUCACUGAGACGAUGUCCUCGAGGGUCAUCCGUGCUAUUGCAUGUGUCAGAAUGUCCUUCCUUUUCAAAGCUGAGUAGUAUUCCUUUGUAUGUGUGGGCGACGUUUUGUUGAUCUAAUCAUCCCCCGAGGGUCCCUUGGGUUCCUCCUGGCUUUCGGCUGUCGUGAGCAGCCCAGCUCUAAACAGAGACGCACACGCCCGCGUCUGCUAUGGUCUUCCAUUCCUAUUCCAUGGCGGUAAUGUCUCCAAUAUCUUAC
RNAcentral lists this long non-coding RNA (1282 nucleotides) under Mustela putorius furo (domestic ferret). RNAcentral's name for it is "lncRNA (ENSMPUG00000029764.1)". Lineage: Eukaryota; Metazoa; Chordata; Mammalia; Carnivora; Mustelidae. The record is from RNAcentral.